CGGGUGAGUAACACGUGGAUAACCUACCUAUAAGACUGGGAUAACUUCGGGAAACCGGAGCUAAUACCGGAUAAUAUCUUGAACCGCAUGGUUCAAAAGUGAAAGACGGUCUUGCUGUCACUUAUAGAUGGAUCCGCGCUGCAUUAGCUAGUUGGUAAGGUAACGGCUUACCAAGGCAACGAUGCAUAGCCGACCUGAGAGGGUGAUCGGCCACACUGGAACUGAGACACGGUCCAG
Molecule: ribosomal RNA, 237 nt
Filed under: uncultured Staphylococcus sp.
Lineage: Bacteria; Bacillati; Bacillota; Bacilli; Caryophanales; Staphylococcaceae
Description: partial 16S ribosomal RNA
Rfam family: Bacterial small subunit ribosomal RNA
Source: RNAcentral